Molecule: ribosomal RNA, 468 nt
Filed under: uncultured bacterium
Lineage: Bacteria
Description: partial 16S ribosomal RNA
Rfam family: Bacterial small subunit ribosomal RNA
Source: RNAcentral
GACGAACGCUGGCGGCGUGCUUAACACAUGCAAGUCGAACGGAAAGGCCCUGCUUUUGUGGGGUGCUCGAGUGGCGAACGGGUGAGUAACACGUGAGUAACCUGCCCUUGACUUUGGGAUAACUUCAGGAAACUGGGGCUAAUACCGGAUAGGAGCUCCUGCUGCAUGGUGGGGGUUGGAAAGUUUCGGCGGUUGGGGAUGGACUCGCGGCUUAUCAGCUUGUUGGUGGGGUAGUGGCUUACCAAGGCUUUGACGGGUAGCCGGCCUGAGAGGGUGACCGGCCACAUUGGGACUGAGAUACGGCCCAGACUCCUACGGGAGGCAGCAGUGGGGAAUAUUGCACAAUGGGCGGAAGCCCGAUGCAGCAACGCCGCGUGCGGGAUGACGGCCUUCGGGUUGUAAACCGCUUUCGCCUGUGACGAAGCAUGAGUGACGGUAAUGGGUAAAGAAGCACCGGCUAACUACGUG